GACGAACGCUGGCGGCGUGCUUAACACAUGCAAGUCGAACGCUGAAGCUCAGCUUUUGUUGGGUGGACGAGUGGCGAACGGGUGAGUAACACGUGAGUAACCUGCCCCCUUCUUUGGGAUAACGCCCGGAAACGGGUGCUAAUACUGGAUAUUCACUGGUCUUCGCAUGGGGGUUGGUGGAAAGGGCGUUUCUGGUGGGGGAUGGGGUCGCGGCCUAUCAGCUUGUUGGUGGGGUGAUGGCCUACCAAGGCUUUGACGGGUAGCCGGCCUGAGAGGGUGACCGGUAACAUUGGGACUGAGAUGCGGCCCAGAGGAGUACGCGGGGCAGCAGUGGGGAAUAUUGCACAAUGGGCGCAAGACUGAUGCAGCGACGGCGCGUGAGGGAUGGAGGCCUUCGGGUUGUGAACCUCUUUCGCUCAUGGUCAGGCCGCAACAAUGGUUGUAGUGAGGGUAGUGGGUAAAGAAGCGCCGGCUAACUACGUG
RNAcentral lists this ribosomal RNA (483 nucleotides) under uncultured bacterium. RNAcentral describes it as "partial 16S ribosomal RNA". It matches the Rfam family "Bacterial small subunit ribosomal RNA", at positions 28 to 507 of the family's 1533-position model. The record is from RNAcentral.